This 84-nucleotide transfer RNA is filed under the name Vicinamibacterales bacterium. RNAcentral's name for it is "tRNA-Leu". It matches the Rfam family "tRNA". From Rfam's summary of the family: Transfer RNA (tRNA) molecules are approximately 80 nucleotides in length. Their secondary structure includes four short double-helical elements and three loops (D, anti-codon, and T loops). RNAcentral also lists the same sequence under 1 other name. Lineage: Bacteria; Pseudomonadati; Acidobacteriota; Vicinamibacteria; Vicinamibacterales. The record is from RNAcentral.
GCGGAAGUGGCGGAACUGGCAGACGCACCAGCUUGAGGGGCUGGCGCUCGCAAGAGCGUGGGGGUUCGAAUCCCCCCUUCCGCA